Molecule: ribosomal RNA, 633 nt
Filed under: uncultured bacterium
Lineage: Bacteria
Description: bacterial SSU rRNA
Rfam family: Bacterial small subunit ribosomal RNA
Source: RNAcentral
AGGAGAGUUUGAUCAUGGCUCAGGACGAACGCUGGCGGCGUGCUUAACACAUGCAAGUCGAGCGGUAAGGCCCUUUCGGGGGUACACGAGCGGCGAACGGGUGAGUAACACGUGGGUGACCUGCCCUCCACUCUGGGAUAAGCCCGGGAAACUGGGUCUAAUACCGGAUAGGACCACUGAUCGCAUGGUUGGUGGUGGAAAGUUUUUUCGGUGGGGGAUGGGCCCGCGGCCUAUCAGCUUGUUGGUGGGGUGAUGGCCUACCAAGGCGGUGACGGGUAGCCGGCCUGAGAGGGCGACCGGCCACACUGGGACUGAGACACGGCCCAGACUCCUACGGGAGGCAGCAGUGGGGAAUAUUGCGCAAUGGGCGGAAGCCUGACGCAGCGACGCCGCGUGGGGGAUGACGGCCUUCGGGUUGUAAACCUCUUUCGCCAGGGACGAAGAGCAAUUGACGGUACCUGGAGAAGAAGCACCGGCCAACUACGUGCCAGCAGCCGCGGUAACACGUAGGGUGCGAGCGUUGUCCGGAAUUAUUGGGCGUAAAGAGCUCGUAGGCGGUGUGUCGCGUCGGCCGUGAAACUUGGGGCUUAACUCUGAGCGUGCGGUCGAUACGGGCAUCACUUGAGUUCGGCA